Molecule: long non-coding RNA, 331 nt
Organism: Cotesia glomerata
Lineage: Eukaryota; Metazoa; Arthropoda; Insecta; Hymenoptera; Braconidae
Exons: 3
Source: RefSeq, a predicted model, not a curated record
AAAUAAAUUAUCUAGUUAAUAAUCAACUUGUUUAAUCACCACACAAAAUCUUUUAUUUACAAAAAUUUUCCAAAACUCCGGGCGAAAAAAUAUUCCGUUACAUCCCUGAAAAUUAGUACCAAUAUAUGCCACAUAGAUGGCGCAUGCGUCGCGCUAGCCAGUGCGUGUUGCAAAUGAAACUUCUCGGUUUGUUUUUACCCGUCGUGCAUUGGUAGUUUAACAGUGGUUAGUAGAAUUGUGUGACCAACCAGUGACUGGUGCUAAGAUGGCUGACAAUAAGGAGGAAAAUAACGAGCUCGCAAAUAAUCGAGCGAGACGCUACCUGAGGAAG